AGAGUGGAUGAUGAUGAGCUCAAGGGAUAUAUUCUCAAUGGCCUAGAUGGAGAUUACAAUCCCCUUGUGGCUUCUAUUAAUGCUGUACCAUCUACCACACUGAAUGAUAUGUGUGCCCAGUUGCAGGCGUUUGAAU
Molecule: small nucleolar RNA, 136 nt
Organism: Lolium rigidum
Lineage: Eukaryota; Viridiplantae; Streptophyta; Magnoliopsida; Poales; Poaceae
Product: small nucleolar RNA Z247
Exons: 1
Source: RefSeq, a predicted model, not a curated record